Dermacentor silvarum is the source of this 954-nucleotide long non-coding RNA. RefSeq lists it as uncharacterized. NCBI's taxonomy places the organism in Eukaryota, Metazoa, Arthropoda, Arachnida, Ixodida, Ixodidae. The record is from RefSeq and is a predicted model, not a curated record. The transcript is spliced from 3 exons.
UCCCGCUAGAGGCGCCGUAAUAAGCGCAAUUUUAACCUACUAACUUUCUCCCGCGCUCAUUGAAGCGUUUUUAUUACUUGACAAAGAGUACAAAAUUAUUAUUCUUAAUUAGAGAUUGUACUGUUGAGUACCAACUGUUUCUUUUUUGCCAUUAUAAACGCAAAAUAACGUUCAUCAUCACCGAUCUCCCACGUGACCUCGGGCCUGGAUUUAAAAAUUUUACCGGUAUUUUUCGCGAACACGGCAAGCACGGAUUCAUUGGUUCGUACACUUAUGCUGGUUGCUUAUUUUGUGCUAAAACCAGUUUAUCGCGCUUCGACACCUCGCGUUAUUUAACUUGGGGUGAAGUGACGGGUUUGCGAGAAAUGUAAGCCCGAAAGCUAGGUAUCGGUCGUGAGCCAUGCGGAACAAGUCUGCAUCGAAACGGGAGCCGGAUUCUGCUGCGACUGAGGACGGCAAUACCGACAUGCAGUAAAGAGGAACCAGUGUAAAGCAGCACUCCAUACACCAAAGACAAGCUACUUCCUGCUACAACAAGGCCAUUUUGUGGACUUUGGCUGUUACUACAAGAAUCUGCACCAAGCACACCAUGGACCUCAUCACAGGAGCCCCCAUCUACCCUGACAGGAAGGGGCUGGAGCCGAAUUUACAAGGAUUUUACACCACAAACAAAGAAGCGGAUGCAGAAGUAUUUGGAUGAGAUAUCAAGUCUACGGAGGAUUGUGUCAAGACUGAAAAGAGCCUCAGCCAUCAUUCCACCAGCACGGAUAUUGGCCGAGUCAUCCAGGUACCUCAACAGACUUUCUAGAAAUUCUUCAUGUUGAGAUGCACCUGCAACCAUUGAACAAGCACGGACGACGCUGGCCAAAAGAGUUCCAUCAGUUUGCCCUUCCUUAAUCAGCUUCCUGGUCAUGUCAAAUUCCACUUGUGCCGAGUAUACAUUUUUUUCUAUAA